This is a long non-coding RNA of Melanotaenia boesemani (Boeseman's rainbowfish), 911 nucleotides long. RefSeq lists it as uncharacterized. Lineage: Eukaryota; Metazoa; Chordata; Actinopteri; Atheriniformes; Melanotaeniidae. The record is from RefSeq and is a predicted model, not a curated record. The transcript has 3 exons.
UCUGAAUGUCAGCGGACACAGCUGCGUCUCAUCUGAAUUCAGUCAUGGCUUUGAGGGAAGGCACGGGCUGGUUCUCGGUAUUAGUGUCGCCAUAAAGAAGAUCGCAUUGAUCUCCCGGUGCAGCCUCCAGCGUCGCUGGGACCGUGGAUCGCUGGUGUUCACCGUGAGGCGCUCUGAGUAGCAGGAAACUAAUGAGGGCGGCGUUGUCAGCUCUGUUUGUUUGUGCGGUUAAAGUGCUGGUGGCUUAAAAUUAACUUGGAAAAAUCUCAUCGUUCAACUCGACGACGCAGGCUUUCACGCACCCAGUCGGUUCUCCUUAACAACGAGCGCUGUCAGCAACGUGCCACCGACUAAACGUGGGCAAAGACAUGACCCAAUCCAUGCCUGCCUCAGAGAAACAGCAAAUACACAACAAUAUAUGAAACAUAACGAUCUGAGACAAAAGUGAAAUAUACUUCACCAACGACGGUCUGAAGGUAACACUUAAAGCAGCUGAAGAAGCCGACCAGCAAACAUUUUCAAUGUCGAAUAAAACAAAAAUGAAAACAAUUUAAGUGUUUUUCUUCUUUAUCAAUUCAACAACAAAAGCAUUCACGAACCUUUAAUUUACUAACUUUAUAUUAUUAAGUUUUAUUAUUAUUAUUAUUAUUAUUAUUACUUUUUUUUUUCGUGUAAUCCACACACACGGCCCCAGAAUCACCGCCAGCUCACACGGACAAACGGAGCUGACAACACCGGUUUAAUCCACUUCCUGCUACUCAGAGCGCCUCACGGUGAACACCAGCGAUCCACGGUCCCAGCGACGCUGGAGGCUGCACCUGGAGAUCAAUGCGAUCUUCUUUAUGGCGACACUAAUACCGAGAACCAGCCCGUGCCUUCCCUCAAAGCCAUGACUGAAUUCAGAUGAGACG